GUGGGCAGAGAGGAGCCGAGGGGUGAGGAGCGGUGUGGAAAAGGCAUUUUGGAAAAGGGCCCCCCUAAUCGCAGUGCCUUUCUCACCCACCAUCAGUUUUUGAGUCCUAUGGUGGAGCAACCCCCUGGCUACUUUCCAUGAGACCAGAGGGAGUCUGAAAAGACUUCAGAGCUGUCCUCAAGACCUGAAGAAAUGAUUCAUUACCCUUCUCUCACCUCCGACCAAUCAGUUGGCCUAUAUGAUCUGUAACCUACAGGCCAUCAAGGAUUUCCAGCUUUUAAGCAUUAGCUUCCCAUUCUCCUCGAUAAGGCCAUUCGUCAAUAAAAUAGCCAAUAUUUCUCUA
Molecule: long non-coding RNA, 343 nt
Organism: Myotis brandtii (Brandt's bat)
Lineage: Eukaryota; Metazoa; Chordata; Mammalia; Chiroptera; Vespertilionidae
Exons: 2
Source: RefSeq, a predicted model, not a curated record